Molecule: ribosomal RNA, 369 nt
Filed under: uncultured Sphingomonadales bacterium
Lineage: Bacteria; Pseudomonadati; Pseudomonadota; Alphaproteobacteria; Sphingomonadales
Description: bacterial SSU rRNA
Rfam family: Bacterial small subunit ribosomal RNA
Source: RNAcentral
UAGUGAGUUUGAUCCUGGCUCAGAACGAACGCUGGCGGCAUGCCUAACACAUGCAAGUCGAACGAGACCUUCGGGUCUAGUGGCGCACGGGUGCGUAACGCGUGGGAACCUGCCCUUAGGUUCGGAAUAACAGUUAGAAAUGACUGCUAAUACCGGAUGAUGUCUUCGGACCAAAGAUUUAUCGCCCAAGGAUGAGCCCGCGUCGGAUUAGCUAGUUGGUGAGGUAAAGGCUCACCAAGGCGACGAUCCGUAGCUGGUCUGAGAGGAUGGCCAGCCACAUUGGGACUGAGAAACGGCCCAGACUCCUACGGGAGGCAGCAGUAGGGAAUCUUCCACAAUGGACGAAAGUCUGAUGGAGCAACGCCGCGU